This 978-nucleotide ribosomal RNA is filed under the name Escherichia coli. Its description in RNAcentral is "partial 23S ribosomal RNA". It matches the Rfam family "Bacterial large subunit ribosomal RNA", at positions 176 to 1194 of the family's 2925-position model. Lineage: Bacteria; Pseudomonadati; Pseudomonadota; Gammaproteobacteria; Enterobacterales; Enterobacteriaceae. The record is from RNAcentral.
GAGGCGAACCGGGGGAACUGAAACAUCUAAGUACCCCGAGGAAAAGAAAUCAACCGAGAUUCCCCCAGUAGCGGCGAGCGAACGGGGAGCAGCCCAGAGCCUGAAUCAGUAUGUGUGUUAGUGGAAGCGUCUGGAAAGGCGCGCGAUACAGGGUGACAGCCCCGUACACAAAAAUGCACAUGCUGUGAGCUCGAUGAGUAGGGCGGGACACGUGGUAUCCUGUCUGAAUAUGGGGGGACCAUCCUCCAAGGCUAAAUACUCCUGACUGACCGAUAGUGAACCAGUACCGUGAGGGAAAGGCGAAAAGAACCCCGGCGAGGGGAGUGAAAAAGAACCUGAAACCGUGUACGUACAAGCAGUGGGAGCACGCUUAGGCGUGUGACUGCGUACCUUUUGUAUAAUGGGUCAGCGACUUAUAUUCUGUAGCAAGGUUAACCGAAUAGGGGAGCCGAAGGGAAACCGAGUCUUAACUGGGCGUUAAGUUGCAGGGUAUAGACCCGAAACCCGGUGAUCUAGCCAUGGGCAGGUUGAAGGUUGGGUAACACUAACUGGAGGACCGAACCGACUAAUGUUGAAAAAUUAGCGGAUGACUUGUGGCUGGGGGUGAAAGGCCAAUCAAACCGGGAGAUAGCUGGUUCUCCCCGAAAGCUAUUUAGGUAGCGCCUCGUGAAUUCAUCUCCGGGGGUAGAGCACUGUUUCGGCAAGGGGGUCAUCCCGACUUACCAACCCGAUGCAAACUGCGAAUACCGGAGAAUGUUAUCACGGGAGACACACGGCGGGUGCUAACGUCCGUCGUGAAGAGGGAAACAACCCAGACCGCCAGCUAAGGUCCCAAAGUCAUGGUUAAGUGGGAAACGAUGUGGGAAGGCCCAGACAGCCAGGAUGUUGGCUUAGAAGCAGCCAUCAUUUAAAGAAAGCGUAAUAGCUCACUGGUCGAGUCGGCCUGCGCGGAAGAUGUAACGGGGCUAAACCAUGCAC